UUGAUCUAACAGUAUCUUAUAUUAUUGCUAUUAACCAGGAUAACCUGGUGAUACUCUGCAAGAAAGCAGAAUAGAAGUGGUAUAAAGCAAUGGGGCUGACCUCGGCAUAGUUGAUUGGGCAAAAUGGUUACUAUUAAUGGAAACAGAAGAAUUUACCAUUUAAUAUGCUGUUUAAAGAACAGCUAACUAUAACCAAUGAACCCCGAAUAUGUGAUGUAAAUAAUAUUUGCACCCACAUUUGGAUCUAUAAUAGUUAUCCCCUUGCCCCCCAAUACAUACCAGAGAUUUGUGGCUCUAAUCUAUUUUCCGCUCAACCUUGUUAGGUAGGUUGCACAGAAACAUAAAAUUAAUAGUUGGGAGUUUGGAUGUUGCAGUUCUUCUUUAAUCAAGUGGGUUCAUUAUACAUUUUCUCUCCUCUAAAAGGAAACAGCACAGGAAUCUGUUGAUAACGCCUGCCAGCCUGAACACGCUGAAAAUGAGCAAGUGAAUGCUCAAACCAACUAUGAGAACCUCGAAGCCUUCAAUGAGGACCAAUCAGAAGAAAGCCUCCCUCAGGAGGAAAAACAUAUGGAGCAGGAGCAGGAGCAGAGAGCUGAUGAAAGCCAAUGCCAGGAGAUAGCAGAGGAAUCAGGCACUAACACCUGCCAGCCUGAAAUAUCCAACAUCUAUGAGGAGCAAGUAAACAGCCAGG
Long non-coding RNA from Xenopus laevis (African clawed frog), 691 nucleotides. RefSeq lists it as uncharacterized. The transcript is spliced from 4 exons. The record is from RefSeq and is a predicted model, not a curated record. Lineage: Eukaryota; Metazoa; Chordata; Amphibia; Anura; Pipidae.